AAAGUCGUAACAAGGUUUCCGUAGGUGAACCUGCGGAAGGAUCAUUACUGAAUGACGUGUGCCUGGUUGUGGUAGACCAUUUCCUGCCAUGGUAUGAUGGUCAGAUGUUGGACCAGCCGGGGAUUUGGCUACCAUUUCAUGCAUUUUCACCCAACAAAUCUGUCUUUGAAUGUAUCGCAUUAAAGCGUAAAAUAUAAAUAUAACUUUCAACAACGGAUCUCUUGGCUCUC
This 230-nucleotide unclassified non-coding RNA is filed under the name Basidiomycota sp. RNAcentral's name for it is "partial contains small subunit ribosomal RNA, internal transcribed spacer 1, and 5.8S ribosomal RNA". The stretch from base 1 to 47 matches the Rfam family "Eukaryotic small subunit ribosomal RNA", at positions 1785 to 1831 of the family's 1831-position model. The record is from RNAcentral. Lineage: Eukaryota; Fungi; Basidiomycota.